GACGAACGCUGGCGGCGUGCUUAACACAUGCAAGUCGUACGAGACGAUUGAAAGCUUGCUUUUGAAAGUCGAGUGGCAAACGGGUGAGUAACGCGUAGACAACCUGCCGUAAAGAUGGGGACAACAGUUCGAAAGGACUGCUAAUACCGAAUGUUGUAGAGUUUCCGCAUGGGGAUCCUACUAAAGGUGGCCUCUACUUGUAAGCUAUCGCUUUACGAUGGGUCUGCGUCUGAUUAGCUAGUUGGUGGGGUAACGGCCUACCAAGGCGACGAUCAGUAGCCGGUCUGAGAGGAUGAACGGCCACAUUGGAACUGAGACACGGUCCAGACUCCUACGGGAGGCAGCAGUGGGGAAUCUUCCGCAAUGGGCGCAAGCCUGACGGAGCAACGCCGCGUGAGUGAAGAAGGGUUUCGACUCGUAAAGCUCUGUUGUCGGGGACGAAUGUGGAGAUGGUGAAUAACCAUUUCCAAUGACGGUACCUGACGAGGAAGCCACGGCUAACUACGUGCCAGCAGCCGCGGUAAUACGUAGGUGGCGAGCGUUGUCCGGAAUUAUUGGGCGUAAAGGGAGCGCAGGCGGGAAGGUAAGUCUAUCUUAAAAGUGCGGGGCUCAACCCCGUGAGGGGAUGGAAACUAUCUUUCUUGAGUGCAGGAGAGGAAAGCGGAAUUCCUAGUGUAGCGGUGAAAUGCGUAGAUAUUAGGAGGAACACCAGUGGCGAAGGCGGCUUUCUGGACUGUAACUGACGCUGAGGCUCGAAAGCGUGGGGAGCGAACAGGAUUAGAUACCCUGGUAGUCCACGCCGUAAACGAUGAAUGCUAGGUGUAGGAGGUAUCGACCCCUCCUGUGCCGGAGUUAACGCAAUAAGCAUUCCGCCUGGGGAGUACGGCCGCAAGGCUGAAACUCAAAGGAAUUGACGGGGGCCCGCACAAGCGGUGGAGUAUGUGGUUUAAUUCGACGCAACGCGAAGAACCUUACCAGGGCUUGACAUUGAGUGAAAGGAUUAGAGAUAAUCCCCUCUCUUCGGAGACACGAAAACAGGUGGUGCAUGGCUGUCGUCAGCUCGUGUCGUGAGAUGUUGGGUUAAGUCCCGCAACGAGCGCAACCCCUAUCCUUUGUUGCCAGCACGUAAUGGUGGGAACUCAAAGGAGACUGCCGCGGACAACGCGGAGGAAGGCGGGGAUGACGUCAAGUCAUCAUGCCCCUUAUGUCCUGGGCUACACACGUACUACGAAUGGGAUGGACAGAGAGCAGCGAAGCCGCGAGGCCAAGCGAACCCCAUAAACCAUCUCCCAGUUCGGAUUGCAGGCUGCAACCCGCCUGCAUGAAGUUGGAAUCGCUAGUAAUCGCAGGUCAGCAUACUGCGGUGAAUACGUUCCCGGGCCU
Molecule: ribosomal RNA, 1383 nt
Filed under: uncultured bacterium
Lineage: Bacteria
Description: bacterial SSU rRNA
Rfam family: Bacterial small subunit ribosomal RNA
Source: RNAcentral